GACGAACGCUGGCGGCGUGCUUAACACAUGCAAGUCGAACGGAAAGGCCCUGCUUUUGUGGGGUUCUCGAGUGGCGAACGGGUGCGUAACACGUGAGUAACCUGCCCUUGACUUUGGGAUAACUUCAGGAAACUGGGGCUAAUACCGUAUAGGAGCUCCUGCUGCGUGGAGGGGGUUGGAAAGUUUCGGCGGUUGGGGAUGGACUCGCGGCUUAUCAGCUUGUUGGUGGGGUAGUGGCUUACCAAGGCUUUGACGGGUAGCCGGCCUGAGAGGGUGACCGGCCACAUUGGGACUGAGAGACGGCCCAGACUCCUACGGGAGGCAGCAGUGGGGAAUAUUGCACAAUGGGCGGAAGCCUGAUGCAGCAACGCCGCGUGCGGGAUGACGGCCUUCGGGUUGUAAACCGCUUUCGCCUGUGACGAAGCGUGAGUGACGGUAAUGGGUAAAGAAGCACCGGCUAACUACGUG
This 468-nucleotide ribosomal RNA is filed under the name uncultured bacterium. RNAcentral's name for it is "partial 16S ribosomal RNA". It matches the Rfam family "Bacterial small subunit ribosomal RNA", at positions 28 to 507 of the family's 1533-position model. The record is from RNAcentral.